RNAcentral lists this transfer RNA (77 nucleotides) under Alishewanella longhuensis. RNAcentral's name for it is "tRNA-Met". It matches the Rfam family "tRNA". From Rfam's summary of the family: Transfer RNA (tRNA) molecules are approximately 80 nucleotides in length. Lineage: Bacteria; Pseudomonadati; Pseudomonadota; Gammaproteobacteria; Alteromonadales; Alteromonadaceae. The record is from RNAcentral.
NNNGGGAUGGAGCAGCCUGGUAGCUCGUCGGGCUCAUAACCCGAAGGUCGUCGGUUCAAAUCCGGCUCCCGCAACCA